GCGGGGGAGAGGCGAUAGCGGAUGGAAGCAACAGUACUUUGAUACCGCCGCGGGUAGAUGCGUGGGGGCUCGUAUGUGACAUCGCACGUAGUGAAUGUGCAGGCUAGUGGUGCCCUGGAGAGACCACAGCGACACCACUACUUUGGAUGGCGAGCUAGGCCCAACGAGCCAGAACCCCAGCUACAACUUCCUGCGGUCUGGUAGGAGG
This is a long non-coding RNA of Oreochromis aureus, 208 nucleotides long. RefSeq lists it as uncharacterized. The transcript is spliced from 3 exons. The record is from RefSeq and is a predicted model, not a curated record. NCBI's taxonomy places the organism in Eukaryota, Metazoa, Chordata, Actinopteri, Cichliformes, Cichlidae.